AGAGAGAGACAUGCGCGCAUAUCAAUAAGCGGAGGAAAAGAAACUAACAAGGAUUCCCCUAGUAACGGCGAGUGAAGCGGGAAGAGCUCAAAUUUGAAAUCUUAAAGGGUUUCCCUUUACGAAUUGUAGUUUAAAGAAGUGUUUUCUGUUGAGGUUUUGGUAAAAGUUCUUUGGAAUAGGACAUCAUAGAGGGUGAGAAUCCCGUAUUUGACCUUUACUUUCAACUUUGUGAUACACUUUCAAAGAGUCGGAUUGUUUGGGAAUGCAGUCCAAAAUGGGUGGUAAAUUUCAUCUAAAGCUAAAUAUUGGCGAGAGACCGAUAGCGAACAAGUACCGUGAGGGAAAGAUGAAAAGAACUUUGAAAAGAGAGUUAAACAGUACGUGAAAUUGUCAAAAGGGAAGCGUUUGACACCAGUGUUGUUUUUCUGAAAAUCAAUUAAAGAACUGUUUAUGCUAAGUUGUUUAGACUUUAUCAGCUAACUGUUUAGUUUUGAGCUUUUCUUUAAUGCACUUUUCAGUUAACAAGUCAACAUCAAUUCCUUUUGCUGUAAAAAAGCUUGAGGAAGGUGGCUUGAGAUUCGUCUUAAGUGUUUAUAGCCUCUUGCCUAUGCAGUCGGAGAGAUUGAGGUCUGCAGCGUAGAUCCUUCGGGGCUAAAUGCAUUUGUGCUAAGUUAUAGCAUUUUAUAGACAACUUGUUGACUAUGAUUUGUCUUGUAGCUUACUCGCUUAUGUUAUUUUACCUACGCUUAGGAUGUUGAGCGCAUGUCUCUCUCU
Molecule: ribosomal RNA, 774 nt
Filed under: uncultured Neocallimastigales
Lineage: Eukaryota; Fungi; Neocallimastigomycota; Neocallimastigomycetes; Neocallimastigales
Description: partial large subunit ribosomal RNA
Rfam family: Eukaryotic large subunit ribosomal RNA
Source: RNAcentral